Molecule: unclassified non-coding RNA, 9290 nt
Filed under: Leishmania donovani
Lineage: Eukaryota; Euglenozoa; Kinetoplastea; Trypanosomatida; Trypanosomatidae
Description: gene:LdHU3.36.6420(CDS-product:related_to_elongat ion_factor-2_kinase_efk-1b_isoform-like_protein)
Source: RNAcentral
ACGCUUGCUUACACACGCGCAGGUUUGCACUCCUAGAGCCCCCCUUCCACCUCCACACGCGCAUACAUACCCACACAAGUCAUUCCGUGGUCUGUUCGGGCUUGGGCACUGCCGGUGCAGCUCCCUCGCUUGCACCUUUGAAGAUAAUCACGCUCCCGGCCUUUGUCUCCGUCACGUACCGCUAAUACCAUGGAGAAGGAGUCCCUUGAGGCCCCGAACAGUGCGAACGGCAGCUUCUCUGUGGUAAAUCACGACUUGAUAAAACCUUCUGAUGCACGAAGCAAGACAAACUCGAACGCGACGGCCUCCGCCACCAGGCCGUCGCGCGACCGCGCCGACUCCGUCCGCGUUUCGCGCCAGCAUAUGUACGUUGAUAUUGACCAGGUCGGUUUUUGCAACGACGCCACUUCGAUGGUUUGGGUGCCCGAUACACGCGGCCCGACGAGCAGCCUACGCACUAACGACGAGUCGUCGUCCACGAAGGGCGGUGACGGUUUCGCUGUGCCGUCGUCACAGACUCGUAUUCCUGCCAUCGCGCUGGCCCGCUAUGUGCGGUCAAGCAGCGUCGGCGAUGCCGCACCGGUGAUUGUGCGAGGGCACAAGUACGUCUUCAAUAACCGCACCAGGCGCUGGUUGGCUCACCCCAUCACAGUUCGCGUCCUGCACUACAACCGCGGCAUCCAUCAGGAUAAAUAUUUCGCCACCUUCGCCAUGGAGUUGCUGGACCCCGUGAAGCCGGCGACACCGAUGCUCGCCAAGGUGUACCGCCACAACAUCGAUCUCGUCUCAGAGACCGACUACUACAGCCUUGGGCAGGCACAGGCGUUGUGCGAGGAGUUCGCACGCGAAUACACGUGCACGGCCGCGCGUUCCCACUACGUGAAGUUCCACCUUCCACUUCUCACCAAUCGCGUCGUGGUCCGCCUCGACAUGGACUCCGUUCUCGACCCGGCCGUUCGCACCGCGCGUAAGGGCUUCUUUUCGUACCGCACCCAGGACACGAGGCAGGUAAUGUUCUUCAUGGAGCCAAACACAGUCGCGUGCGAGGCUCUCGGCAUCUCCUUUGCAUCUCGUGAAGUGGACGAGGGCAAGUGUUACAGUCGCGGCGACGCGAUGUGGUCGCGCGACAUCUACCGCGACAUCGCAGACGGCUUCUCGCACUUCACCUACGUCAGGAGCCGCGCGUGUAUGGUGGCGCACGGGUUCGUGCGCAGCAAUGGGUAUCUGCUAGAUCCUCUGUUUCACACGACUGACAGUGAGCGGUUCACCAUGGGCGAUGCAGGGAGGAGCGCUAUGGAGGACUGGGUCAAGCGGCAUCGGUGCGGUGACACCUGCCGCGCCCUCGGCAUCUCCAACUUCAACAACGACGGUGAGCGCGUCAAAAAGGCUGCCGCCUGUGUCAACCCACUCGACAUGGAGGAGAAUCACUAUACCGAUUACCUGCGGAGCGUUCGUCAAAUGCGAGUGAUAGUGCAUAUGGACGCGGCGCAGAUCUUGUGCGACCACAAAAAGGAUUCGGCCGUCGACACCGUCUCGGAGAGCUCUGAUUUCACGCCCACAAUGGCCGCCCUUCAGCCGGUGCCAGUUUCGUCUGUCUCGCGCAAGGUGACCUGCGAUGCCGUGAAGUACGUCUUCCUGCCUACUCGCGCCAAGUGGAUGGAGGUCCCGAUGCGGCUUACCGUAGCCGCGUCGGCGGUGCCGGAUACCGUGGACGGCACGUAUGCUUUCUUCGCCAUCGAGGAGGUGCGUGAGGGCGGGCGUCCGGUGCCGAUGCGUGCGCGAUUCCUUCUACGGCCUGAAGCGCGGGAUGCGGACUACUACCACUUCGGCGACGCCUACUGUGUGUGCGUGACCCUGGGCCAGGUCUUCCGCGAGUAUUGCGCGAACAACGUGUUUGCGCGAGACCUCGAUUUCUACGCUGCCUAUGCGGUGCGUGUGCCACAGGCCAACAUCCCGGACUACAUCAAAGCAGCGGUGCACGACUCCGACUUCUUUGCUCGCACCACGGCAGACUCCGGCGACGUGAUGUUCGUUGCUGAGGCGGAGUUUCAGCCCUUCUCUCCGCGGUGUUUACCGAAUGCCGACGGUGUGUCGAAGGACGCUGAAGGCUUCGACGACCUCGCGUUGCGCAACGUUGUCGACGCCUUCUCGCACUUCACGCUGCACAAGUCUGGCAAUCAUUUGUUGGUGUGCCAGUUCAAGUGUCAGGACGGUCUCCUCAUGCACCCAAAUAUCAACACCUCCAGCGGUUGCGGUUUCGAGACGCUCAACGACGGUCAGGCUGGCAUCGACGCAUGGGUGCGGAAGCACACGUGCAACGAGGUGUGCAAGUUUCUGGGGAUGGAGCCGCUGCCACGGCAGUUGAAGCUGUACGACAUUUCUUCGAGCCCGUUGAUGCGGUACAUCAGGCAUGUGCAGGAGCACAAGAUGGGCUCCGACGAGAUGCUCGAGCUUGCGCCACCAUCACGCAGGAUGUCGGACCGAAUGCUGCCGGCAGCGUCUGACGCGGCUGCCAGCCAGUCGGAGAGGGCGCGCACGAGCUCUUCUGCCACUGCAUCGACGGCGACAGCCGCCGUCGCCUCUUUUGUGCGACCGACCCCACCGAAUUCGGAGGAAACAAUGCUCCGCCCGUGGGUGAAGAGAGGCUGCAAGGCGAGCGCUGCAAGUGCGAAGGGGACUGCAGCGCAGCGCCGCACGCUGACGCAGCGGGAGCUGAUGCGCCUCCAGUCGAAGGGAAUCGAUACGAAGUACAUCAUUCCCGCAACGCGCUACGACCUUAACAUCGACGACCUUACGUGGACUUCCAAACGCAUCUUUGUGCGCAUCGUCAACCCGGAGCGUGGCAUCGGCCAGGGUGGCAUGCGUGUGUGUUUUGAGAUCACAGACGUAGACCCCGAUGCCUGCGCGGAAUCCGUGAUGGUGGCGAAGAUGUACCGCCGCACGAUCAAGAAUGUCGUGGAGAAGGACUACUUUACGAGUGUGAUGGUGCAGAAGCUGUCCUCGCUCUUCGCAAAGGACUUCAACAAGGAGAGGAACGAAGAUGGCCACUUGCUCCUGAAUGUGCUGGACGGCGCCGUCAUCGCAUUGGACCGUGCGGACUUGCCCCCAGAACUGCUCGCGCAGCGCACGGGCUUUUUCUCCUAUCGCACCGAGGACACGGAGCGGGUGGUGUUCUGCGUCGAGCAGAGGCUGCUUGGUCGCUUCACGAAGUACAACGGCAACAUGGGCGAAGCCUACCCCACAAAUGAAUGCCGUCUCAGUCCGCCCGCCGCCCGCGAGCGCACCAUGGUCUUCGAGGCGGUGGAGGCGCUCUCGCACUAUUCCCUGGAGAGGAGUGAGGGUGGCUUGCUCGUCUGCGACAUGCAGGGAGUGAGGAACGACUUGACGGACCUGGAGGUGCACUCGUACGAUGGCCAGAGCCUGGACAUUGGCAACUUUGGCGCCCGCGGCAUCCAAAAGUUUGCGCUGCGCCACCGCUGCACCAGCGUGUGCAAGAGUCUCAACCUCCGCAACUUGCGCGACAGGCACUUCACCGUGACAGAUGAUGUGAAGACGAAGAACCGAUUUGUCGCCCUUUUUGAGCGCAUCAAGGAGAUUGGCAAUAUGGAGGAGUAAGCGGCGAGGAAACGAGAGAGCAACAUGAGAAGGAAAGCAGACGCCGUGUGACCACACACGUGCAGGAGGAGCAUGGGAUCGUUACUGCUCAUAUCGUGCCUUUGCUCAGGGCGAGCUCUUCCUGGUACCCGGAUCGCUUCGCGCACCUCGCUCCACCCCUCUCUGCCCUCUUCCCCAGCCCCGCUUGAGGCGAAGGUGCAGAUUCUGAGGAAGAGCGACGCCUUCGUUCGGACUCCGUUGACGUUGUCGUUCUCAACUACUGGUACCGCACCCCGGGGAGCCAGCGCAUGGGAGUGCGUGCGUGCCAGUGCUUGCCCGCGUCGGAGUAUGAGAUGGCGACCACAUUCCUCGAGGAGGGGCCUCAGAUGCGGAGGAGAUGGUGGUGGACACAUUUUCCAGCCGCCUGCGCAGUCAGUUGGUGGAGGAAGACUGCCCGGUCACAUGUACCCUUCGCCCUCCUCACACAUAUAAAGAAGAUAGCAGGUCUUCUCGGCAUCGCCAACGACUCCCGUGCUCACCUAUGGACCUGCUGUUUACCUCUAUGCUCACAAUGCACGUUCUCUGUCUUUUUCUUCCUUCGCAUGACGCGUGUGCAUCAACAUGGCUAGCCUCACGACUAUUUGUGGUUGACCGCGAACCGAGCCAGCGAGUGGGUACAACGGAAGAGUGGGUGAGGGGGGGGGGCAGAAAAAAAAGGAAGAAGCGGUAUACUUACACGCACUCAGGGUGUCCAGGUGAGUAUCAUAAUCAAAAAAAAGGAAGAUCUGCUGAUUCACAAAUUCGGCUUCUGCACCUUCCCCCCCCCACCCCUUCCCUCUUUGCUCUGCGCUCGACUGGACACUCUGUAAAAAUCGAGCGUUUUUGUCUUUGGUUAUAGUUCACUUUCUUUUUUUCCCCUGUGUUUUGUUAGUUUGUCGUUUUCCUCGGCUUUUUUCGGGCACAGUUAUUUUGCCCCUGCUCGCUCUCUGUACAAUGGAUGGCUGAGCGUGUGCGUGUGUGUCUCUCUCUGUGCUCUCUUUUUUGGUGCGUGUGCAGCUCGCUUGCUUCUUUUCUUUUUUUUGGACUAACUGCUGAUGAACGCCAUAACUCCACCUUCCUAUCCUUUCCUUUGCCUCCCUUGCCACAUUGCCGUUUUCUAAAAUUUAAUGUGGCACUCGCGUUGUUCGUCGGUGUGACAUGCACUAAAAGCACACCGUAAAGUGCCUUUGCGUAUGUGCCUAAGAGUUUCGUUUGUGCAGCGUGUGACAGCCGCACAAGCGUUUUUUUUUUCGGAUUUUGGCGUUCGUACGUUGCAGUUCAUUCUUUCCUCACUAUUUGUCGUUUCCUUCCUUGUGAUUCUGCCGUUGGUUGUCCGUGGCGCUGGCUUGGGCCACCCUCUUCAUGCUUCGACACCUGAGUGGAUGCUGCCCACUGCCCUCCUCCUCUUUCACAACUUCAUCGUUUCAUUGAGUAUCUCUUUUUGUGUUGUUUCGCGUUGUGUUGUGACCUUUUUCGGGAGCGAACAUAACCGAAAACAGAAAAAAAACGGCCUCACAGGCGGUACGGAUUUCGGCGCGUCGAUCUUCGCUUUUAUCGUUGGCUCUUCCGUUCUUCUCCCCUGUUUUUCAGCGUUACGUCGCGUCUUUUGUCUCUCUCUGGUGUGUCCACCUUUGUUGUUGUUAGAGAGGCUUCGCCUCCUGGUCUGCUUGUCUUGCGUGUCCUUGCAUGCUACCAGAAAGGAAUAAUAGGUGCCGUAUAUCCACGGCUACGCGUCUGUGUGUCGGCACACACACUGGUUCGAAAAGAUGUACUCGGGCUACGGAGCACGAGAGCAUGCCCUUGUGCUGUCCUUUCACUUCUUUAUUGUCUACUCGUGUUCCUUUCCAUGCUUUGCUAAGCUGUAUUCGUCUGGGGUGCGCAUCGCCGAACCAUGGUGGAGGACAACUUCUUACAUUGUCCUUUUCCCCCUUUUGCGCCGUUUUUCGGGUCAUGUACUCGUGCCCUGUGCCCCCGUCUAUGCGCACGGAAAACGGCGAUGCCGUUGCAGCUGCGGAGGGCAGCGUAGAGCUGCGCCCCUUCGCCCUUCACCGGUCUCAUCAGGUGAAGGGUGUUUCAGAAUAAUGUGCCCUUUUUGUCGCGUUUCCGACGCGGAUGGUCUUCGCCCUCCUCCUCCUCUUCGCCGUAGAUUUUUGGGUGCUCUACUUUGUGCCCCAGCCCUCCCUUCUCUUCUUCGCCAUCGUGCCUUGUUGGUCUCUGGAUAUCUUGUUGCCUACUUGUAUGCACUCGUACUCUGUUUCAUGUGUUUGUGUUGGCCGCUGAUCUCAUUCCCCUCCCUACCUCUUAUCGUCCUUCCUUUUCAGUUUCCAGUUGGUGAGUCCUUGCCGCUCGGGGCAUUUUUUUUCUUUUGCUUCUAUUGUUCUGAUUUCUCUUCGGGCACCCUCCGUGAGUGCGUGCGUGUGUGCUUGCAUUCGUUUGGCAGGCAACCGGUGCGCGGGCUCUCUGUGCCGCUUUGGCCACAUCUCCACGCAGAAAAAAAAGACCCUAGAGGGGAUGGGGGGGGGGCAGAAAAUGAAGGGCGACCCGUCGCUGAAAGCAUCGCUGCGGCAUUGAAGGUGACCAGCACAGUGGCCGAUUUUCAAGUGCACAUGCACGUGACGCCGCGUUUAUCUGACGUUGUGCCAUUGCUGAGCUGGGCGUUGCGUGCUUUUUGCUUUUUUCCUUCACGCCACCGUCUCUUUUUCUGCUUCUUUGUUUUCGGUUUAAAGGCCCUUGCAGCGGCACACACCUCAGUGCGUGGUAGCACACAGCCCCGAGCCGCAGGCUUUCUGGGAAGGAUGCCAUGCAGACCCCCUCCUCCCUCGAUCCCCCUGCCAAAUGCCGGGCCACUUGUGGUGGUGACAGGGUCACGCACCCUACGCCGUGGGGAGCUGGGAGCGAUGCAUCGCUGCUCAUGUCGUCGGUGAGGCUCUGGACGGUGUUGUGUGGGAGCGACAUGCGACAGUGAGCACGCUUGUGCCAUCCAUAUGAUAGGCAAAGUGUCAGCGUGGCUCGAACGUGCAUCCUACCCGGCCCUCGCACUGCCCACCGUCGUGGUUAGCCUGAGCCGCCCCACAGGGGAUGCAGCAGGGGUGGCGACCCUCGCGAUGGGAGGGCGUCUCUGCGGUGGGUGGGUCGAGUGUGAGGCAGGGGCCCUGCUGCGAGAUGGCUGAGUCGGUGCACUGCUGUAACGUGUGUGCCGUGACGGGGGGAGGGGGGGGGCUUCGCACCGCGCGGAUAGGCCUGUGACGGACCGGGAACUGGUGGUAGAGCGGCGUUUGAGCUCAUGGCUUGCCGUGGAGGGGGCUCGCUGAAACAGAACACAAAGAAGAAGUGUUUUCAAUGUCAGUGCUUACCGCGUCUCUCUGCCUCUAUAACGUUUGGUUUCGGGCUUUUCCGCGUGCCUCUUGGUCUGUCACCCUCCCCCAUCAUCUUCCCCUCCCCUCCGCUCAGCUCUUCGGUUGUCUCUUUGUGUUUUGGGCUCUUUUUUUUGUUUCCCUGCUUCGAUUUUGUAAUUUUUGCGUCCAGCUUCAUUGAGCGAGGCAAGCAGAGAGUGAGGGCGAUUUCCUUACCGCCACAAAAACGAAAAACAAAAAAAAGGAGUGGCCUUCUGCUGAUGGUGUAGCGGGGUAGUCUUUUGUUGUGUCUCUGUUGUGUGCCUCCCCUGCCCCGGUGACAUCUGAUUUUGUCGUUCGUUCCUCUUCUUACCAUCAUCUCUUGCUUUCUUCGACAGUUGUGCGUCUCAUUUUUUGUCCGUGUUAUCGAAGGGGUGCGGCGGUGCUCGUUGAAAACCUCUACUUCGCUCUGCGGUAGCAGAGCCCUUACAUGACAAGCUUCCUUUCUGCUUUCCUUUUUUUUAAUCGAUCAUCCUUUCUCUCUCUCUCUCCGACGUCUCUUUCAGCGUUUCUGUUGUCGCCUAAUUUCCAAUCUCCUUUUUGCUGAUGCUCUUGUGUGCCGAUGGCUCACUCACGUUACCCACGUUCACGUCAGCGUUGGACUUGCGAUUUGUUUUCUGUUUCUCUUCCCUUCUUUUUGCAUUUUCCGAUCCUCGACGACGCCGGCCACCUCAGCGCGUGGUAUCGGCGUCGAGCGCCCAGGCUUUCUGGAGAAGCGGCGAGGCUGCCGCCUACUUCUGGGCACGGCUGGCGGACGCUUGGUGUCGGUGGGCAGGCUCGGUGCCGCUCUGUGCGGGGGAGACUUGCUGCCGGGAUGAUGCUUGUACCAGCUCCCCAGGAAGCACGCCAAGGACGCGGCACGUAUUGGAGAGCAAGAGGCACGCCGAUCAGCCCCACAGCACAUGCCUGCGAAGCGCACGGCACUUCCAACGUCCCGGGCGGGUGGGCUGGCGAGGCCCGGGUGCCGGCAGCAUGGCGAGAGCAGCCCGAAUCAACGCAGCGAGUCCUCCAGACGCCCAUGUGGAGUGUCGCCACACGGUGGCACGGGAGUGCGCGGCGCGAGGCAACGGGGUGCGAAGGAUGGCCCGCAGGCAGCGGUGCGCAGGGUCUCGGAGGGCCCUGGCCUGAGAGGCUGGCCGACGUUGUCCGUGAGCUCACCCGGUGCGCGCGUAGCUGACGCCUCGCCUGUUGGCCGGCACGACGGGCACCACGGCUUCCGCCCUCGAGCGGGGGACCCUUGGCGGCGGUGUGCUUUGGGUGAAGGCGUGCAGGCCACCCGCGUCUGCGUCUGGCGCGGAUCGGGCAGCACGCCGCCGGCGGAGGGACCGAGAGGGGCAGGAUGGGGAGAGCUGGUUAGACGCGUGGCCUGAUUCGAUGACAGGGGCUGGGCGGGCGCGUCCCAGAGGGCCUGGAUGUCGCGGUGGUGCGGCAGCGGUGGUGGAGCUGUGGCUGGGUGUGCGUAUAUUCUGUUGCCCUGUACUUGGUCGAAUAUGGACACGCUGAAGGAAAAGGUAAACGCGCCUAGUCUGUGUGUGUGAGCCUCCCUGCAGUUCAUCUGCUGCGUUUUUUCUUUUGCAACAUGAGUGUGGACAUUUGCACCCCUCUACUUGCGAGUGUGAGUGCUUUUUUUUUCGGUGGAGUGUCUUGCUGUAUGCUGGCUGCUCACCCCACCUCGUUUUUUGCGCCCUACAACUCCGCAUAUAUCGUACGCGUGAUGCGUUUUUUUUUUUUAGUUGCUUUUUUUCUGUGUGCUUGCGGCUCUGCGCACCUUUCGCAAAGGUCUUUGCUGCAGCCGUAGUGUUUGCUUCGUACAUUCUUGCGCAUAAUAAGGUGUUCACCCACCGUUUAGAGAGAACAACAGGAUCUGCAUUGAAAGGACCCGGUCGUGAUUCUCAAAUGGAGGCAUAGCGCCGGAAAAAAAAGCCGCAACAAAAAGAAUUCAGUUCACUGUGUGUGUGUGUACGGCCACGCAAAGGAGGCGAGAAAGUUCGUGGAUAAUACCCAAGGACGCCGAGCGGGCAUCCCGCUCCCCUCGUUCUCUUUGAAUGCACACACAGUUGCACGGAGCCCCAGAGGCACCGAUCCUGCUCUUGGCGUUGUAAGCAAAAUAUUCGACGCGCUAGAGUGCAAAAGGCAUCUCUCGCGCCUCACCGCGCGUGCCUGUGUCCGUUCUGCUUUGCGUUCUUGUUGCAGCGAGCGCCGCCUCACGCGCUCGGUGUGACAACCGACACCACUGACACUUCUCCAAACUCUCACCUCGAGCAG